RNAcentral lists this ribosomal RNA (449 nucleotides) under uncultured bacterium. RNAcentral's name for it is "partial 16S ribosomal RNA". It matches the Rfam family "Bacterial small subunit ribosomal RNA", at positions 29 to 523 of the family's 1533-position model. The record is from RNAcentral.
AGCGAACGCUGGCGGCAGGCCUAACACAUGCAAGUCGAACGGAUCCUUCGGGAUUAGUGGCGGACGGGUGAGUAACACGUGGGAACGUGCCCUUUGGUUCGGAACAACUCAGGGAAACUUGAGCUAAUACCGGAUGUGCCCCUCGGGGGAAAGAUUUAUCGCCAUUGAAGCGGCCCGCGUCUGAUUAGCUAGUUGGUGAGGUAACGGCUCACCAAGGCGACGAUCAGUAGCUGGUCUGAGAGGAUGACCAGCCACAUUGGGACUGAGACACGGCCCAAACUCCUACGGGAGGCAGCAGUGGGGAAUCUUGCGCAAUGGGCGAAAGCCUGACGCAGCCAUGCCGCGUGGAUGAUGAAGGUCUUAGGAUUGUAAAAUCCUUUCACCGGUGAAGAUAAUGACUGUAGCCGGAGAAGAAGCCCCGGCUAACUUCGUGCCAGCCGCCGCGGUAA